GAAAGUUACAAAGGGCGCACGGGGGAUGCCUAGGCUCUUAGAGGCGAUGAAGGACGUGAUAAGCUGCGAAAAGCUGCGGGUAGGUGCAAAUGACCAUUGAUCCGCAGAUAUCCGAAUGGGGCAACCUGCCAUGUUGAAGACAUGGUACUACCUACGAUUGGUAGGUAGAGCGAACGUGGGGAACUGAAACAUCUAAGUACCCAUAGGAGAAGAGAACAAAAGUGAUUCCGCGAGUAGUGGCGAGCGAAAGCGGAGAAGCCCAAACCGCAUGGGUUACGGCCGAUGCGGGGUUGUAGGACUGAGUUAUGGACUUGUACAUGCUAUUAGAACUGUCUGGAAAGUCAGACCGAAGAAGGUGAUAGUCCUGUAGAAGAAAGCGUGUAUAAACCUAUCAGUAUCCUGAGUAGGACGGGACCGGAGGAAUCCUGUUUGAAUCUGGCAGCACCAUCUGCCAAGGCUAAAUACUCCUAAGAGACCGAUAGUGAACCAGUACCGUGAGGGAAAGGUGAAAAGUACUCCGAACAGGAGAGUGAAAUAGUACCUGAAACCGUGCGCUUACAAGCGGUCGGAGCCCUUUGGGGUGACGGCGUGCCUUUUGCAUAAUGAGCCUACGAGUUACAUUUUUCCGGCGAGGUUAAGUGCUGUUAAGCAUGAAGCCGCAGCGAAAGCGAGUCUGAAUAGGGCGCAGAGUCGGAGGAAGUAGACGCGAAACUUUGUGAUCUACCCAUGAGCAGGUUGAAGUGUCGGUAACACGAUAUGGAGGACCGAACCGAUAGACGUUGAAAAGUCUCCGGAUGACUUGUGGGUAGGGGUGAAAGGCUAAUCAAACUGAGAGAUAGCUCGUACUCCCCGAAAUGUUUUUAGGAACAGCCUCGGAAGAGAGCGUAUAUUAGAGGUAGAGCUACUGAUAGGAUGCGGGGGUUUCAUCGCCUGCCAAAUCCUGACAAACUCCGAAUGCUAAUAUACAGGUCCGGGAGUGAGGCCAUGGGUGCUAAUGUCCGUGGCCGAGAGGAGAAGAAUCCAGACUAUCGGCUAAGGUCCCCAAAUGUAUGCUAAGUUGAAAAUAACGAGGUUUUAUUGCAUAGACAGCUAGGAUGUUGGCUUGGAAGCAGCCAUACAUUUAAAGAGUGCGUAACAGCUCACUAGUCGAGCGAUAGAGCGUGGAUAAUAAUCGGGCAUCAAGCAUACUACCGAAGCCAUAGACUCUGCGGAGUGGUAGGGGAGCAUUCUUGUUGCGUAGAAGGUGUACUGUAAGGUAUGCUGGAGCGGUAAGAAAAGCAAAUGUAGGCAUAAGUAACGAUAAGGCGGGAGGGAAACCCGCCCACCGAAAGACCAAGGUUUCCUGAUCAACGUUAAUCGGAUCAGGGUUAGUCGGGACCUAAGGCGUAGCCGAGAGGCGAAGUCGAUGGAAAGCCGGUUAAUAUUCCGGCACUUUCUAUAACUGCGAUGUGGUGACAGAGUAGUGAAGCAUAUGCGCACUGACGGAAUAGUGCGUUGAAGGGUGUAGAUAGAUGAUGCGUAGGCAAAUCCGCGUGUUGUGUCGAACCUGACAGUACGACGAUCCUUCGGGAGAGUUGAUAAUGAUGCGAAUCAGACUUUCAAGAAAACCCGCUAAGCUUCAGGUUAUAGAGACUCGUACCGUAAACCGACACAGGUGGUCGAGGAGAGGAUCCAAAGGUGCUCGAGUGAUUCAUGGCUAAGGAACUAGGCAAAAUACCCCUGUAACUUCGGGAUAAAGGGUGCCUCUGAGAAGAGGUCGCAGAGAAAUGGCCCAGGCGACUGUUUAACAAAAACACAAGGCUUUGCGAAAUUGUAAGAUGAAGUAUAAGGCCUGACACCUGCCCGGUGCCGGAAGGUUAAGAGGAGAGGUUAGCCGCAAGGCGAAGCUUUGAAUUGAAGCCCCGGUAAACGGCGGCCGUAACUAUAACGGUCCUAAGGUAGCGAAAUUCCUUGUCGGGUAAGUUCCGACCUGCACGAAUGGUGUAACGAUCUGGGUACUGUCUCAGCCAUGAGCUCGGUGAAAUUGAAGUAACGGUGAAGAUGCCGUUUACCCGUAACGGGACGGAAAGACCCCGUGAACCUUCACUACAACUUAACAUUGAUUUUGGGUACGUGCUGUGUAGGAUAGGUGGGAGACUGAGAGCCGGGUGCGCCAGCAUUCGGGGAGUCGUUGUUGAAAUACCACCCUUUAUUUACUUGAAGUCUAACCUGCGGAAAGUAGGGACAGUGUUUGGUGGGUAGUUUGACUGGGGUGGUCGCCUCCAAAAGCGUAACGGAGGCUUUCAAAGGUACCCUCAGUACGGUUGGUAACCGUGCGAAGAGCGCAAUAGUAUAAGGGUGCUUGACAGUGAGACCCACAAGUCGAUCUGGUAGGAAACUAGGAUAUAGUGAUCCGGUGGUUCCGCAUGGAAGGGCCAUCGCUCAAAG
Molecule: ribosomal RNA, 2427 nt
Filed under: gut metagenome
Description: bacterial LSU rRNA
Rfam family: Bacterial large subunit ribosomal RNA
Source: RNAcentral